This 200-nucleotide long non-coding RNA is filed under the name Carica papaya (papaya). RNAcentral's name for it is "long non-coding RNA (CPAP_LNC002498)". The record is from RNAcentral. Lineage: Eukaryota; Viridiplantae; Streptophyta; Magnoliopsida; Brassicales; Caricaceae.
GAGUUUUUCGUAUGUACCGGGUCUGUACACCUUCCCCAGGGUACUCAAUAAGCCUUUCAUCUAUAGAUCCACAUCAUCAACCAAUCACACAUCACAUACCAACAUCUCAUUUAUACCAAUUAACCGUAAAUCAUGCAAAUAGACAACACGUAAAAUUGAGAAAACACGAUUGAAACAUUUAUUUUAGAUCAAUUAACGGA